RNAcentral lists this transfer RNA (80 nucleotides) under Actinomycetota bacterium. RNAcentral describes it as "Actinobacteria bacterium (freshwater metagenome) tRNA-Asp". It matches the Rfam family "tRNA". From Rfam's summary of the family: Transfer RNA (tRNA) molecules are approximately 80 nucleotides in length. Their secondary structure includes four short double-helical elements and three loops (D, anti-codon, and T loops). Lineage: Bacteria; Bacillati; Actinomycetota. The record is from RNAcentral.
GUCCCAGUAGCCCAACCUGGUAGAGGCAAAAGGCUGUCAACCUUUUUAAGGUGUGAGUUCGAAUCCCAUCUGGGACACCC